This 65-nucleotide transfer RNA is filed under the name Synergus sp. ZJUH_2016033. RNAcentral's name for it is "tRNA-Trp". Lineage: Eukaryota; Metazoa; Arthropoda; Insecta; Hymenoptera; Cynipidae. The record is from RNAcentral.
AUAAUUUUAAGUUAAUUAAACUUUAAACCUUCAAAGUUUAAAAUAUAAAAUUUUUAUAAAUUAUU